CCUACGGGUGGCUGCAGUGAGGAAUAUUGCGCAAUGGGGGAAACCCUGACGCAGCGACGCCGCGUGAGUGAUGAAGGCCUUCGGGUUGUAAAGCUCUGUCAGAGGGAAAGAAAGGGGAUAUGGCUAAUAUCCAUGUCCAUUGACGGUACCCUCAGAGGAAGCACCGGCUAACUCCGUGCCAGCAGCCGCGGUAAUACGGAGGGUGCCAGUGCUAUUCGGAAUCACUGGGCGUAAAGAGCACGUAGGGGGAAAUCCCGGGGCUCAACUUCGGAACUGCAUUUGAUACUGCCUGUCUUGAGUGUGGUAGAGGUGGAUGGAAUUCCCGGUGUAGAGGUGAAAUUCGUAGAUAUCGGGAGGAACACCAGAGGCGAAGGCGAUCCACUGGGCCACUACUGACGCUGAGGUGCGAAAGCGUGGGGAGCAAACAGGAUUAGAUACCCGAGUAGUC
RNAcentral lists this ribosomal RNA (448 nucleotides) under uncultured bacterium. RNAcentral's name for it is "partial 16S ribosomal RNA". It matches the Rfam family "Bacterial small subunit ribosomal RNA", at positions 338 to 795 of the family's 1533-position model. The record is from RNAcentral.